Non-coding RNA from Peromyscus maniculatus bairdii (prairie deer mouse), 1721 nucleotides. The record is from RefSeq and is a predicted model, not a curated record. NCBI's taxonomy places the organism in Eukaryota, Metazoa, Chordata, Mammalia, Rodentia, Cricetidae.
UGUCUGGCCCUGGUGGACCCUGCAGCCUAGUACGGCCUGAGGAAGGUCCCCUGGGUCCUUGGUGGAGGAGAGGGUGGUUAAGGUGGGAGCGCUGAGGCUACUUUCAUGGGUAAAGAAGUCGUUUUGCUUUCUUCCGGUUCUGCCCACACUGGUGAGUGGGCCGUCUAGUUCUGGGCUGCUGUUUGUCUGUGGCUGUGUCCUCUCAGUCUGUCUGCUCUCAUCCUAUUUUCUCCCAGCACCCCAGCUGCACAGUUAGUGCCGUCGCCAUUGGUGCUGGACAGGCUGGUGUCUGCCGGGGUUAGAGCUGGUGCAGAGAAGAGUUCAGUGGGGAGCAGUCUGUGUCAGGGAGUGUACCGAGUUUACUGAUGCAUCUCCCUCAGCUACAUCCUUUCCUUUGCCCCAGAUGAACACAACUUUUUUUCUUCUGUGACUUAACACAAGAGUUGUAGGCACUGUGACCUUUGGUGACUCCCUGGGCUUGCCUUUUUCAUAGUGACUAUAUAGCAGGAGAUGGGGGGGGGCAAUUCAACUUCCAAUAUUGUUUUAUUAAGUGCCUGGCACUAAUGAGUCCUCUGUCCUGAAUACCAUUAAUUUUCUAAACAAAAUGUGCUGUGAGCACAGUUAAUCUUUCAAGUUGUAAUCCCAGAGUUGCUUGACCUGACCUGUGUAGCUGUAGGAAACAAAUGGCUAGCUCUUGAUAAAUCGUGGUCUUUUCUGAGCCUAAAGAAGGCUUUUUCUGAGUUAAUUAUGUCCUGGGGAGCAGAGAGUGCCAUCUCCAAGUCAGGCAGGGUGUUCUCCAUGCCUCUGUGACAAGGCUAAUAGUCCGCAGAUUUCAGAAUAAUUGCUCGUGGAUUUGGCUUUGGAGUUAUGCCAGCUUCAGUGUGAGUGCUGGCAUGACUCUUACUCACCGGCAUGGUUCCGAGUGUCACCUGUGCAGCAGGAAUGGCUGAGGAUGGCAGGAGGUGACACAGUCCUUAGCCGUGGCAGUGAUUAACACAUGUAACCACUGCUGUAAGAACGGUGGCCUCGGGAGUCUAGAAAAUGUGAUAUUCAGGACCUAAUCAAUUAGUCAUUGUAAAAAUUGGCCUCUUGCUGCUGGCUGCCGUUCCGUGCGGGGUGACAGUGGUGUGGGGGAGAAAGUAUCACUUUCCUCUGAUCCCACAGGCUGAAACCACUCCCCAACCUAAGGACACCGCCACUGCAGGCACUUCCGAGGGUCUUUGCCCUUUCAUGUCCCUCACUAGUGACCGGGUGCUCACCAAGUCCUGUGGACUUUGCUGCCCUCACUCAUCCGCUGGCUCCAAGCCAGCAUCUCUCAGGUUAGGUCAUUACCCUUGCCACUAGAUUCUGAAAUCGGCUUUUCAAAGAUGCAGGACGGAAGAGGUGGAAUGGAAAAUGUCGGAGGUUCUGUAUGUGGUGAGACUGAUUUAGUUGGUGAGACUCAUAUGUAACAGUGGUUUCACAAACCACAGCUGACAUCGGCUUUGUACCACUCACUUAUCUGUCCCCAGCAACAGCCUGGAGGUGGUGGAACAGUCGCAGGAACUUGAGAAGCUGGCCCAGGGUCACAGGAGUCACAAGGUCACCCUGACGGGAAGUCAGCUGACUGUCGCCAUCACUGAAGCAGCAGCUCCUGAGUGUGAAGAAAAGAGGUCCCUGCCUGGACAGAGGAUUGCGGCCCUCCCUCGAGACCUCUCUGGACGUAUCUUCCCAGCAUCCUC